CACGUAGGCACCAAGCGUUGUCCGGAUUUAUUGGGCGUAAAGAGCUCGUAGGCGGUUGAGUAAGUCGGGUGUGAAAACUCUGGGCUUAACCCAGAGCCGCCACUCGAUACUGCUCUGACUUGAGUACGGUAGGGGAGCAGGGAAUUCCUAGUGUAGCGGUGAAAUGCGCAGAUAUUAGGAGGAACACCGGUGGCGAAGGCGCUGCUCUGGGCCGAAACUGACGCUGAGGAGCGAAAGCGUGGGUAGCAAACAGG
This 254-nucleotide ribosomal RNA is filed under the name uncultured bacterium. Its description in RNAcentral is "partial 16S ribosomal RNA". It matches the Rfam family "Bacterial small subunit ribosomal RNA", at positions 524 to 776 of the family's 1533-position model. The record is from RNAcentral.